AAUGGCUAUGAGCCAGAAUCCAUUCCAGGGGCCACUUCUGAGAGUUGCUUCCACCAUGUGAGCUUGGAAUGACAAGGAUUACAGGAUCAAGCGACAAGACAAGGCCUGUUCAGCCAUCAGAAGCUUUCCAGCGACACUGCGAGGACCACCUGGGGAAGGGUGCCAUGUCAGUAUCAAUAGCUCUAGAAGAUUCUGUGGAGCAAGGAGCUCCUUCCUGUCUGUGAAUGUCUGCUCAGGCUACCAAGUAAGUCUAGAGUGCUGGCUGUCCUACAGUCCAAUAUGCUGUCCUGCCCUGGUGGCAUUUCUGUCUGACACUGACACCAGCUAUUGCUACAGUGCUCAUCCGUGCCUAUUGAUUCUGGUUGGCUAGUUGGAAGGACAAGGGGGAUACAGUGGGGAGAUUAUGACUACCCUCUGUGAGCAGGUGGAGAUGGU
This 435-nucleotide long non-coding RNA is filed under the name Cricetulus griseus (Chinese hamster). RNAcentral describes it as "lncRNA (ENSCGRG00000025490.1)". The record is from RNAcentral. Lineage: Eukaryota; Metazoa; Chordata; Mammalia; Rodentia; Cricetidae.